GACGAACGUUGGCGGCGUGCUUAAUACAUGCAAGUCCACUGAAGCAGUGGUAGCAAUAUCGCUGUGGAGGUGGCGCACGGGUGAGUAACACGUAGGUAAUCUGCCUUCAGGUCUGGCAUAACUCCGGGAAACCGGGGCUAAUAGCAGAUGAUGCAGCGGCUCGACAUCGAGACGGUUGUUAAAGCUAUGGCGCCUGAAGAUGAGCCUGCGUCUGAUUAGCUAGUUGGCGGGGUAACGGCCCACCAAGGCAACGAUCAGUAGCUGGUCUGAGAGGAUGAUCAGCCACACUGGAACUGAGACACGGUCCAGACUCCUACGGGAGGCAGCAGUAAGGAAUAUUGCUCAAUGGGAGAAAUCCUGAAGCAGCAACGCCGCGUGAGGGACGAAGGGCUUUUGCUUGUAAACCUCUGUAGUGAGAGAAAAAAAUCCCAAUCUUUGGGACAUGAUGGUAUCUCAAAAGUAAGCCCCGGCUAACUACGUG
Molecule: ribosomal RNA, 481 nt
Filed under: uncultured bacterium
Lineage: Bacteria
Description: partial 16S ribosomal RNA
Rfam family: Bacterial small subunit ribosomal RNA
Source: RNAcentral